RNAcentral lists this ribosomal RNA (440 nucleotides) under uncultured bacterium. RNAcentral describes it as "partial 16S ribosomal RNA". It matches the Rfam family "Bacterial small subunit ribosomal RNA", at positions 338 to 795 of the family's 1533-position model. The record is from RNAcentral.
CCUACGGGUGGCAGCAGUGAGGAAUAUUGCACAAUGGGGGAAACCCUGAUGCAGCGACGCCGCGUGAGUGAGGAAGUAUUUCUGUGUGUAAAGCUCUAUCAGCAGGGAAGUAAAUGACGGUACCUAACUAAUAAGCCCCGGAUAACUACGUGCCAGCAUCCGCAGUAAUACGUAGGGGGCAGGCGUUAUCCGGAUUUACUGGGUGUAAAGGGAGCGUAGACGGUUAAUCAAGUCAGAAGUGAAAACCCAGGGCUCAACCUUAGGACUGCUGUUGAGACUGAGUAGCUAGAGUGCAGGAGAGGUAAGCGGAAUUCGUGGUGUAGCGGUGAAAUGCGUAGAUAUUAGGAAGAACACCGAUGGCGAAGGCAGCUUACUGGACUGUAACUGACGUUGAGGCUCGAAAGCGUGGGGAGCAAACAGGAUUAGAUACCCGAGUAGUC